UACGUAGGUGGCAAGCGUUGUCCGGAAUUAUUGGGCGUAAAGAGCGCGUAGGCGGUCCGAUAAGUCGGCUGUGAAAGUCAGGGGCUCAACCCUUGAAAGCCGGCCGAUACUGUCGGACUAGAGUCCGGAAGAGGCAAGUGGAAUUCCCGGUGUAGCGGUGAAAUGCGCAGAUAUCGGGAGGAACACCAAUGGCGAAGGCAGCUUGCUGGGACGGUACUGACGCUGAGGCACGAAAGCGUGGGGAGCAAACAGG
RNAcentral lists this ribosomal RNA (253 nucleotides) under uncultured bacterium. RNAcentral describes it as "partial 16S ribosomal RNA". It matches the Rfam family "Bacterial small subunit ribosomal RNA", at positions 524 to 776 of the family's 1533-position model. The record is from RNAcentral.